AUUGAACGCUGGCGGAAUGCUUUACACAUGCAAGUCGAACGGCAGCACGGGUGCUUGCACCUGGUGGCGAGUGGCGAACGGGUGAGCAAUACAUCAGAACGUACCCAGUCGUGGGGGAUAACGUAGCGAAAGUUACGCUAAUACCGCAUACGUCCUGAGGGAGAAAGCGGGGGACCGUAAGGCCGCGCGCGAUUGGAGCGGCCGAUGGCGGAUUAGCUAGUUGGUGGGGUAAAGGCCUACCAAGUCGACGAUCCGUAGCGGGUCUGAGAGGACGGCCCGCCACACUGGAACUGAGACACGGUCCAGACUCCUACGGGGGGGAGCAGUGGGGAAUUUUGGACAAUGGGCGAAAGCCUGAUCCAGCCAUUCCUAGUGAGUGAAGAAGGCCUUCGGGUUGUAAAGCUCUUUCGGCAGGGAAGAAACGGCUUGGGAUAAUACCCCGGGCUAAGGACGGUACCUGAAGAAGAAGCACCGGCUAACUACGUGCCAGCCGCCGCCGUAA
RNAcentral lists this ribosomal RNA (502 nucleotides) under uncultured bacterium. RNAcentral describes it as "partial 16S ribosomal RNA". It matches the Rfam family "Bacterial small subunit ribosomal RNA", at positions 29 to 523 of the family's 1533-position model. The record is from RNAcentral.